AAUGAACGUUGGCGGCGUGGAUUAGGCAUGCAAGUCGAGCGAGAAUCCCAGCUUGCUGGGAGGACAGCGGCGAAAGGGACAGUAAUGUGUAGAUCAUCUGCCCUCAGGUCCGGGAUAGCUGUGGGAAACUGCAGGUAAUACCGGAUAACAUCUCCGGAUCAAAGGUGUGAUUCCGCCUGAGGAUGAGUCUACAUCCUAUUAGCUUGUUGGUAGGGUAACGGCCUACCAAGGCUGCGAUGGGUAGCGGGUGUGAGAGCACGACCCGCGUCAUUGGGACUGAGACACUGCCCAGACAUCUACGGAUGGCUGCAGUCGAGAAUCUUCGGCAAUGGGCGCAAGCCUGACCGAGCGACGCCGCGUGCGGGAUGAAGGCCUUCGGGUGUAACCGCUGUCAGAGGGAUGAAAUGCGUGGGGGUUCUCCCCAUGUUUGACAUAGCCUCAGAGGAAGGACGGG
RNAcentral lists this ribosomal RNA (454 nucleotides) under uncultured bacterium. RNAcentral's name for it is "bacterial SSU rRNA". It matches the Rfam family "Bacterial small subunit ribosomal RNA", at positions 29 to 496 of the family's 1533-position model. The record is from RNAcentral.